GUCGAGCGGAAGGCCCUUCGGGGUACUCGAGCGGCGAACGGGUGAGUAACACGUGAGUAACCUGCCCCCGACUCUGGGAUAAGCCCGGGAAACUGGGUCUAAUACCGGAUACGACCACUUCAGGCAUCUGAUGGUGGUGGAAAGAUUUCUUGGUUGGGGAUGGACUCGCGGCCUAUCAGCUUGUUGGUGGGGUAGUGGCCUACCAAGGCGACGACGGGUAGCCGGCCUGAGAGGGCGACCGGCCACACUGGGACUGAGACACGGCCCAGACUCCUACGGGAGGCAGCAGUGGGGAAUAUUGCGCAAUGGGCGGAAGCCUGACGCAGCGACGCCGCGUGGGGGAUGACGGCCUUCGGGUUGUAAACCUCUUUCAGCAGGGACGAAGUUGACGUGUACCUGCAGAAGAAGCGCCGGCUAACUACGUGCCAGCAGCCGCGGUAAUACGUAGGGCGCAAGCGUUGUCCGGAAUUAUUGGGCGUAAAGAGCUCGUAGGUGGCUGGUCGCGUCUGCCGUGAAAGCCCGCAGCUUAACUGCGGGUCUGCGGUGGAUACGGGCCGGCUAGAGGUAGGCAGGGGCAAGUGGAAUUCCUGGUGUAGCGGUGAAAUGCGCAGAUAUCAGGAGGAACACCGGUGGCGAAGGCGGCUUGCUGGGCCUUACCUGACGCUGAGGAGCGAAAGCGUGGGGAGCGAACAGGAUUAGAUACCCUGGUAGUCCACGCCGUAAACGUUGGGCGCUAGGUGUGGGACCCUUCCACGGGUUCCGUGCCGGAGCUAACGCAUUA
RNAcentral lists this ribosomal RNA (781 nucleotides) under Nonomuraea ferruginea. RNAcentral describes it as "bacterial SSU rRNA". It matches the Rfam family "Bacterial small subunit ribosomal RNA", at positions 61 to 862 of the family's 1533-position model. The record is from RNAcentral. Lineage: Bacteria; Bacillati; Actinomycetota; Actinomycetes; Streptosporangiales; Streptosporangiaceae.